Molecule: transfer RNA, 62 nt
Filed under: Coix lacryma-jobi (Job's tears)
Lineage: Eukaryota; Viridiplantae; Streptophyta; Magnoliopsida; Poales; Poaceae
Also listed under: 2 other names
Description: tRNA-Lys
Source: RNAcentral
UUUUAUCUGGGUUGCUAACUCAAUGGUAGAGUACUCGGAGUCCCGGGCAACCCAUAUGGAAA